AAUCAGCUGACGGAAAUAACAGUAGAAACGGGAGGGUGGAUGCUUAAAGACAAGACCAUGUUGCCAUUUCAUUUCAUGUAUCAUUUUAGAAAUACACACACAGAUAUGUGUAAGCGUAUAUGUGUAUAUGGAUAUAUGGAUUUAUGGGCUUCUCAAAUCCCACCUACACCAAUCUUUGGAACAUCCAUCACCCUGCUGGUCCAAGGGAGCCUGGGAGUAUGAAUCUUCUCACACCAAGGAUAAGGCUUUCUAUUGUCUCUUCCCAAUGCAUGGUAAAGAUGUGGUAAGAACUCAAAGGAUCAUGGUCUUUGGUGUGACAUCCUACAACAGUAUAGGAGCUGAAGGGACUGGUGGGCUUGUCCAGAUAACUCCAUUGAUGAUCCAGAGCACAAAGCAAGCUCCACAAAGAAACCUGUGGAGGUUCCUAAGUUUCUAGAUGUUUCUGUGUCAACCUUCUGCAGAUCUCGUUUUAGAUAAAGCUAAGACCACAGAGGAUAAUCCAAGUCCAGGCUCCUGUAAAUGCUAGGUCUAUACUCUCCCACUGAGCUACAUCCAGACCUAAAUUAUUUCUAUAGUUUAAAAAUUAUAUUUGUUAGGGCCAGCAAUAUGGCUCAGUAAGGAGUAAAGACACCUACUGUGAAGUCUGACCACCUGGCUCUGUUCCUGGAACCCAUGUUGUGAAAGGAAAAAAGAAAUCAUUUCCCACCAUGCCCUCUGACUUGUGUGAUUGUACAUAUACACAAUAACCCUCAAAAUAAAUAGGUAAUGCAAAAAUU
This 776-nucleotide long non-coding RNA is filed under the name Mus caroli (Ryukyu mouse). RNAcentral describes it as "RIKEN cDNA 1700111E14 gene (MGP_CAROLIEiJ_G0003840.1)". The record is from RNAcentral. Lineage: Eukaryota; Metazoa; Chordata; Mammalia; Rodentia; Muridae.